RNAcentral lists this long non-coding RNA (18318 nucleotides) under Brassica rapa (field mustard). RNAcentral describes it as "long non-coding RNA (BRAP_LNC008565)". Lineage: Eukaryota; Viridiplantae; Streptophyta; Magnoliopsida; Brassicales; Brassicaceae. The record is from RNAcentral.
AAUGAAUGAAAACAAGACAUAGAAACUAGAAAUGAAGACUUUGACUAAAGACUGGUCAAGGUGCGGAUUCUUGUGUUGACUGGUCCAGAUUCACAAAGAUGUCCAAGUUCAUUAUGUGGUGAUCAGGUCAUCCGCGGUAAGGAGCAGGACGGAUGUAAGGCUGACCGCAUGAUUGAUCGUCGAUGAUCCAUGAACGGAUGAAGAGAUAGCUCGACCCAAAUCUUCAGAGAGCUUAAGUAUCCUUCCUCUGGAGUAGUUGGAAGCAUCGAUCAUCAUGAAAUCAUCAAAGUGGUUGGAAAGGUCGUGAUCAGCCUGAUCCGGGCGUGCGGUACGUCCCAAACGGGCAAGGAAAGAUAGGCUAAGUCCGGAAUCUGAUUCUUCUCGAGGAUCAUGGGUUCUGGCUUGACUGUUGGCUCUAGAAUGGCGAAUGGGUCGGGGAAGAACGCCUGUGGUUUGGCUCGGUCAUCAGGUCGUGGAUCCAUCCUUAGGUCACGUCCGGGUGCACGCGGGUCGAUCCGGUACACGGCUCUGUCCGUUGAUCUGGUACGGCUGAAUGGCUGAACCUCAGUUGGACUGAUCUGAUCGUCCUGGUCACCAUGCUGAGUCUGCUCCACGUCCUGGUCCAGGUCCUGGGUUCUAUCAUUCCCUCCCUCUUCAAAAGGAUUUGACCACAAAUCCGGAUCAUCUGCGCAAAAAGGAGAUAAAUCAGAAACAUUAAAACUUGAAGAGAUAUCAUACUUACCCUGAAGAUCAAGCUGGUAAGCAUUGUCAUGGAGUUUCCUGAGAAUCUGGAAUGGACCAUCGACCCGGGGCAUGAGUUUGAACUUCCUUUGUUCCGGGAAUCGUUCCUUCCUCAUGUGGACCCAAACAAGAUCACCUUCCUGGAAGAUCACUUCUUUCCUUUUCUUGUCUGCAAGUCGUUUGUAGCCCUCGGUCUUGGCUUCAAUGUUGGCACGGACCUGUUCAUGCAGCUUCUUGAUCGUGUCCACCUUCCUCUUGCCAUCUGUAUUAACUCGUUCACUCAAAGGCAAAGGUAAAAGAUCAAGUGGAGACAAGGGAUUAAAUCCAUAAACAACCUCAAAAGGAGAAAACUUAGUAGCUGAAUGCAAAGCAUGGUUAUAAGCAAAUUUAACAUGAGGCAAACAUUCUUCCCAAGUCCUAAGAUUCUUUUUAACCAAAGAUCUAAGCAAAGCAGACAAGGUUCGGUUAACUACUUCAGUUUGCCCAUCAGUUUGCGGAUGAUAAGUUGUAGAGAACAUUAAUCUAGUACCUAGCUUAGACCACAAGGUCUUCCAAAAAUAGGUAAGGAACUUAGCAUCACGAUAAGAGACAAUGGUCUUAGGCAUUCCAUGCAAUCUAACAACUUUCUUAAAGAAUAAAUCUGCAACUUGCACAGCAUCAUCAGUUUUGUGACAAGGAAUGAAAUGAGCAAUUUUCGAGAACCUAUCAACAACCACAAAGAUAGAAUCUCGUCCAGCUUUAGACCUAGGCAAUCCAAGCACAAAAUCCAUAGAAAUGUCUACCCAAGGAUGAGAGGGAAUGGGUAGAGCUGAGUACAAACCGCGGUGUGAUGCUUUAGGCUUAGACUUCUUGCACACCACACAUCGGCUACAGAUCCUCUCAACAUCUUUCAUCAGGCUCGGCCAGUAGAAAUGGUCAUGAACCGCCUUGUAAGUCUUCUUGACACCAAAGUGUCCCAUAAGCCCACCUCCAUGAGCUUCCCUGAGAAACAACUCCCUCAAAGAACAUUGGGGCACACACAAACGGUUAUCAAAGAAUAAGAAACCAGAAUUUUGAAAGUAUUUGCCAUAAGCAACCUUUGAGCAUUUUUAAAAAAUCUCUUUAAAAUCCUGAUCAGAAGCAUAAAGAUCCUUGAUAAAUUCAAAGCCAAGCAAUUUAGUUUCAAGGACUGAGAGAAGAGUAUACCUUCGAGACAAUGCAUCAGCCACAACAUUCUCCUUACCUUGUUUGUACUUGAUCACAUAAGGGAAUGUCUCAAUGAACUCCAUCCAACGAGCAUGCCUCUUGUUGAGCUUCUGCUGACCCUUAAGGUGUCUUAGAGACUGAUUAUCAGUGUGGAUGAUGAACUCCUUAGGCCAAAGAUAGUGCUGCCAUGUUUGAAGGGCCCUCACCAAGGCAUAGAGUUCUUGGUCGUAUGUGUGGUAGUUGAGCAAGGCUCCUCCAAGCUUCUCACUGAAAUAAGCCACUGAUUUUCCAUCCUGCAUCAACACAGCACCAAUACCAACACCAGAAGCAUCACAUUCGAUUUCAAAAGCUUUAGAAAAAUCUGGAAGUACAAGUAAAGGGGCGUGAGUCAACUUCCCUUUAAGGAUUUCGAAUGCUUCUUCCUGAGCUGGUCCCCAUUUGAACCCCACGUUCUUCUUGAUUACUUCAGUAAGAGGAGUGGCCAAGGUACUGAAGUUUUGAACAAAUCGCCUAUAGAAGCCGGCAAGGCCAUGGAAGCUUCUUACUUCACCAAUGGUGGUCGGAAUGGGCCAGUCUUGUAUUGCUUGGACCUUCUGUUCGUCCACUCUCAAGCCAUCUGCACCUACAACAAAACCUUAGAAAGACCACAUGAUCUGUGCCAAAAGAACACUUUCCUUUCUAAGGACUUCACGAACAGAUUUCAAAUACUGUUUGUGCUCAUCAAGGCUUUUGCUGUAAAUAAAAAUGUCAUCAAAGUAAACCACAACAAAAUGACCAAUAAAAGACCUCAAGACAUGAUUCAUUAGGCGCAUGAAAGUACUAGGUGCAUUAGUGAGACCAAAGGGCAUGACAAGCCACUCAUACAAACCUAGUUUUGUUUUAAAGGCCGUUUUCCAUUCAUCACCUUCUUUCAUCCUAAUCUGAUGAUAGCCACUUCUCAAAUCUAUCUUAGAAAAGUACUUAGAACCAUGGAGUUCAUCAAGCAUAUCAUCAAGACGAGAGAUAGGAUGUCGAUACUUUACCGUGAUGUUGUUUAUGGCCCGGCAGUCCACACACAUCCUCCAGGAGCCAUCCUUCUUUGGUACAAGUAGAACAGGCACGGCACAGGGACUGAGACUCUCUCUGAUGUAUCCCUUCUCAAGCAAGUCAUUGAUCUGUUCUCCAGCUCCUUGGUCUCGACCGGAUUGGUGUGGUACGCUGGUCGGUUCGGUAGAGAGGCGCCCGGGAUGAGAUCGAUCUGAUGCUCAAUGCCUCUCACCGGUGGCAAUCCUUUGGGAUUUUCUUCUGGAAACACAUCAGAAUAAUCCUGCAAGAUACCUAAAAAUUCACUCGGAAUCUCUGGUAAGGUCAGAGGAAGAUGAGGCCAAAAGAGACUCUUUAUAAAUCAGUAAGAGAAAUGGCUUUUGAAAGCAAAGAGACUUCCUUACCUGACUUUCUUUGAUAAAGAAGUUGGAGUUUUUGGUACUGGUCUCAGGUUUAUCAGCUUUAGAGUCUUGGUCUUGGUUCUUCUUAAGUUGGACCUGGUCUUGAUGUACUUCCGAAGGCGACAAAGGCACCAAGGUGAUCUUCUUUCCCUUAUGAUCAAAUGAAUGCCGGUUUGUGAAACCAUCAUGCACUGCCUUCUUGUCAAAUUGCCAAGGCCGGCCCAAGAGAACAUGGCAAGCAUCCAUGGGAAGCACAUUGCACACAACCUCAUCCUCAUAUCGGCCAAUGGAGAGUGGAACCGUGACUUGCUCCUUCACAUACUGUUCUCCGGCCUCAUUGAGCCACUCCAACCUGAAAGGACGAGAAAGAGGCCGAGUAACAAGCCCAAGUUUCUUUACAAGGGUGUCACUAGCCACAUUAGUGCAACUACCUCCAUCAAUGAUUAAAGAACAAACUUUAUCAGAAAUGAGACAUCUAGAGUGAAAGAGAUUCUCCCUUUGUUCUUUGUCAUUGGAUUUUGGUUGGACACUCAAGGCACGCCUAGUAACCAGUAGUGAACCAUGGCUCGGCUCAUCAAGAACAUCCUCAUCAUAGAUCGGAUCAGAACUCUCCACAAAGGUCGAGCAAAACUCAUCGAUCACUCCAUCGACCUCCUCAUCAAAGAUGGGAUCAGUGGUGUCGUCCAAGACCCUCCUAGUAACAAGAAGGGGACCAUGAACCGGGAAGUCAAGUGCUUCUUCCUCAUCAUCAUCAUCAUCAUACACUGGUCCGAGAUCCUCCUUGUCUUCUUCAGAUUCGACUUCUCCAUUCUCCAAGAGCACCAUCACCUUUUGGUUUGGACAUCGGUUGGCAUAGUGGCCAAGGCCAUGACACCUAAAGCAUUGGAUGUCUCUGGUUCGUUUGGUAGGCUCUUCUUUCUUUUCUCUAUCAACACGAGCAGGGAUAUUAGUCUUAAAAGCUGUAUUUGUUGUGGAAGAAGACUUACCCUUCUCUUGAUAGUUUGGCUUGGAAGCAAAGGUCGGUUUAGAAGCAAAGGUCGGUUUAGUGAGACCCUUUCUCUUGACUUGUUGCUCGAUCAGCACAGCCUUGUGUAGCAUCUGCUCCAUGCUGUCAUAGUCUUCCAGCUCCAUCCGGUCUUGUAUGUCCCGGUUGAGCCCGGUAAGAAAUCUGGCCAUGGUGGCGUCUAAGGGCUCUUCUACAUCAGCUUUGAUCAUCAAGGUCUCCAUCUCCUGGUGAUAGUCCUCAACUGAAUUAGAACCUUGAAGCAAACGCCUGAGUUUACGGUGUAGAUCUUGGUGGUUGUUGGGGUCAAAAACGGUUACGACAAAUUUAACAUUCAAAACGUCCGAGGAGGAAAAUAAGAAUUUCUCCGAAGAGUAUUUUUCGAAAUAGACUCUUUCUUACGAAAAAGCUUUACGGAAGAAAGAAUCGAGAUGUCCGACGAAAAGCUCGAAACAGGUCGCUACGUAGCGACCAAGCGAUCGUCGAGCUCGGUCGCUACGUAGCAACCGAGCUCGAACCAAAGCUCGGUCGCUACGUAGCGACCGAGCGAUCAUCCCGCUCGGUCGCUACGUAGCGACCGAGCUCAGCCAAGCUCGGUCGCUACGUAGCGACCGAGCGAUCGUCCCUCUCGGUCGCUACGUAGCGACCGAGCUCGAGCCAAAGCUCGGUCGCUACGUAGCGACCGAGCUCGAGCCAAAGCUCGGUCGCUACGUAGCGACCGAGCGAUCGUCCCGCUCGGUCGCUACGUAGCGACCAAGCUCAGCCAAGCUCGAUCGCUACAUAGCGACCGAGCGAUCGUCCCACUCGGUCGCUACGUAGCGACCGAGCGAUCGUCCCGCUCGGUCGCUACGUAGCGACCAAGCUCAGCCAAGCUCGGUCGCUACGUAGCGACCGAGCGAUCGUCCCCUCGGUCGCUACGUAGCGACCGAGCUCGAGCCAAAGCUCGGUCGCUACAUAGCGACCGAGCUCGAGCCAGCUCGGUCGCUACGUAGCGACCGAGCGAUCGUCCCGCUCGGUCGCUACGUAGCGACCGAGCGAUCGUCCCGCUCGGUCGCUACGUAGCGACCAAGCUCAGCCAAGCUCGGUCGCUACGUAGCGACCGAGCGAUCGUCCCGCUCGGUCGCUACGUAGCGACCGAGCGAUCGUCCCGCUCGGUCGCUACGUAGCGACCAAGCUCAGCCAAGCUCGGUCGCUACGUAGCGACCGUGCGAUCGUCCCGCUCGGUCGCUAUGUAGCGACCGAGCUCAAGCCAAAGCUCGGUCGCUACGUAGCAACCGAGCACUCAUCUCACUCGGUCGCUACGUAGCGACCGGGCUCGAGCCAAAUUUCGGUCGCUGUGUAGCGAUUGAACCUUUCCGAACAUCGAUACGACACCAGUCCAUGCAUUCUCAUCAAACCUUCGAAUGCUAUCUCCCGAAGACCGUAGCAAGCUCAGUCCAUGUUUUCCGCUAUUCUAAUUCAUCGAUCAAACUUCGCGGAUUAGAAACUGCGGAAAACUCGUAGUAAACGUGUCGAGUCGGAAGACGGCCCAAAGGGACCUAAAACACGAUUCGAAGCCCAUCCUACGAUUUUCCUAACCAAAAGCCCGUAAACCACAGCAUGGUUUACGCUUGGCCCACAAGGAAGGAUAAAUGUCAAGUUUCCGCGGAUAAAUACGGAAGUUUUGAAGAUAAUUAUGAAGAUCGGGAAAAAUGGAAUAUCUCCAUUUUUAUGCUAUGACGGCUUAAGGGCAGAAGAGUAAAAGCGUAAACCGACCUUGGAGCUAGUAUAUAAGGAGUCCUAGGCGAAGAGCAGAGGGGAGAACUUUUUCAGAGAAAACUUAGCACUUAGAGCAAUUUAGGCAAUUUUCCGUUUUUGUUAUUUCGAGCUGCGACUCAAUUAGGUUUAGCCGUCUUAGGGUUGCUAGAACUAGGAAUCUCGCCGACAGCUCUCGAGCCCAGGCUUAUACCUUGUUGUAACGCUCAUACGCAGAUUCGGAAUAAGAUCUACUUUGCUCUCUUUUCGAUUUCUUAUUUUUAUCGUUGUUAUUCUCGUGUUCUGAUUGCUUGACGUGUGGUAAUUAACAGAUAUCCGGGUCCUCUGGGAAACUAGGGUUUUCUUAGUUUCCUUAUUUAAACGGAAAUCGACAGUGUGAAUUUCGGUUCCCACAGUUUGGCGCUAGAAGGAGGGGGACUUACGGAUCAAUCUAACCCGCAAAAGCCACUCAACGAUCAGGAACGAUAUGCGAGAUUCGACGUGCGCGAACGUCAUCUCAUUCAAGGGGGGAGAAACGAUCUAUCGAGCCAAACCUCGAAACGAUCUCCUUGUUAUCGAGUUGACGAUUCGAGAUAUCGACGUCGCUAGAGUACUAAUCGAUACCGGAAGCUCGGCCGAUAUCAUCUUCAAAGACACUCUUGAAAAGAUGGGGAUCAGUCAAUCCGAGUUCGCGAAAUACCCAAGCCCACUGCUAGGACUUUCGGGGGAAACGACCAUGGCCUAUGGAUCGAUUAGACUCGCUGUCAAAGCCGGAACCGUGACGAACAUCACAGAGUUUCUAGUCGUUGACCGCCCCGCAUCUUACAACGUUAUCAUGGGGACGCCAUGGCUGAACACCAUGCGCGCAAUCCCAUCAACCUACCAUCUUUGUCUCAAGUUCCCGACCCCUAACGGAGUCGAGGUAAUCUGGGGAAAUCCAAGAGUUUCGCAGGUUUGUUUCGCCGCGGAACUAAAACGAAAGAGACCGAUCCUCGAAAUUACUCCUAAGAAAGCGGAGAAAAAACCUCCAGCAAAGAUACGCGAAGUCAGGAUUCAGCGGAAUUCUUCUGGCAAUCUCGUAUCAUCGCAGCUCUAGAUGAAAAACGCGAGCCAACAUGUGAACCCGUGGUAACGAUCUGUCUCGACGAAGCCUUCCCAGAACGCUGCGUCGAGGUUGGAGCCAAUCUCCACGAGCCUUUAAGGACAGAACUCAUAACCUGUCUUAAAAAGAACCUUAAUACUUUCGCAUGGGCUGCGGAAGAUAUGCCAGGAAUCGACAUUAACAUAACAUGUCACGAGCUGAAUAUCGACCCAACGUUCAAACCCGUCAAACAGAAAAGACGGAAGCUGGGACCCGAACGUGCUGCCGCAGUAAACGAUGAGGUCGAAAAAUUGCUUAAAGUUGGGUCGAUAACGGAAGUAAGAUACCCGGACUGGCUCGCCAACCCCGUAGUAGUCAAAAAGAAAAACGGGAAGUGGCGAGUUUGCGUAGAUUUUACCGACCUAAACAAGGCAUGUCCAAAGGAUAGCUUCCCUCUACCACAUAUCGAUCGAUUGGUAGAAGCAACAGCGGGCAACGAACUCUUAUCCUUCAUGGAUGCCUUCUCAGGUUAUAAUCAAAUUAGGAUGAAUCCCGACGAUCGUGAGAAGACUGCGUUCAUUACUGAUCGCGGAACUUAUUGCUAUAAGGUAAUGCCCUUCGGCCUCAAAAACGCUGGAGCAACUUACCAACGACUCGUGAACCGAAUGUUCUCCAAACAACUCAGAAAAACGAUGGAAGUUUAUAUCGACGACAUGCUCAUCAAAUCCCUCAAAGCAAGAGAUCACGUGUCACAUCUCGAAGAAUGCUUUGCACAACUAAACUCCCACAACAUGAAGCUCAACCCGACGAAAUGUAGAUUCGCCGUGGCAUCCAAAACAGAUCAACGCACUAAUCGAGAUGGCUUCACCAAAGAACAAGCGGGAGGUCCAAAGACUGACCGACAGAAUCGCAGCACUUAACCGAUUUAUUUCACGAUCAACAGAUAAGUGCCUGCCCUUCUACGACGUCCUGCGAGGAAAUAAAAAAUUUGAAUGGUCGGAAGAGUGCGAAAACGCCUUCCAACAGCUGAAGCGUUAUUUAGCUACUCCUCCAGUCCUCGCAAAACCCGUGGAAGGGGAGCCUUUAUUCUUGUACAUCACGGUGUCGGCAACGGCCGUAAGCGGAGUCCUGAUCAGGGAAGAACGCGGAGAGCAGAAACCUAUUUUCUACAUAAGCAAAAUCUUGCUGGAUGCCGAAUCUAGAUAUCCGUUGAUGGAAAAAUUGGCAUGCGCGGUCGUAACAUCGGCCCGAAAACUAAGACCAUAUUUCCAAUCCCACACGAUUGUCAUCCUCACGACUUUUCCCUUACGGACAAUUUUGCAUAGCCCAAGUCAAUCAGGACGAUUGGCUAAGUGGGUGGUCGAGUUGAGCGAGUAUGACAUCGAAUACCGACCAAGGACGAGCGCAAAAUCACAAGUGCUCGCAGACUUCCUGGUCGAACUUCCAACGGGAGCAAUAACCAAUGAGGAACCAAAUUCCACCUGGCUCCUCCACGUUGACGGAUCCUCAUCCAAGCAAGGAUCGGGUAUCGGGAUCCGUCUCACAUCUCCAACGAGCGAGAUCUUGGAACAAUCGUUCAGGCUGGAAUUCCAUGCCUCAAACAACGAGGCCGAAUACGAAGCGUUAAUCGCAGGUCUACGUUUCGCUCAUGGCUUAAAAAUACGCAAUCUCCACGCCUACUGCGACUCCCAGUUAGUGGCCAGUCAAUUCAGCGGAGAGUAUGAAGCCAGAGACGAACGGAUGGACGCGUACCUCAAACUGGUCCAGGGUCUAGCUCAAGACUUCGACUGCUUCGCCCUUACCCGGAUCCCCCGUUCCGAGAAUGUCCAGGCGGACGCCCUCGCGGCCUUAGCAUCAAGUUCCGAUCCAGGACUCAAAAGGGUAAUUCCGGUCGAAUUCAUCGAACAUCCGAGUAUCGGACCACCAGUCGUUGUCAAUCUCAUAGAGGGUCAAGACGACGAGGAAGAAGAAAUUACGGUACCACCACCAUCAGAGCAAUCUGAUUACGGCUGUGAUACCCCAUGGCUUCAGGCGAUUCGAGACUACAUUAUCGACGGGCAACUGCCCGCCGAAAAAUGGGCAGCUCGCAAGAUCCGAACACAGGCCGCACGCUACGUGACAGUGGACGGCGAAAUCUACAAAUGGAGAUUCUCCGGACCACUCCUGCCGUGCCUGGAAGGAGAAAAGGCGAGGAAAGUAAUGGAGGAAAUACAUUCCGGCUCAUGCGGCAACCAUUCCGGCGGAAGAUCACUAGCCGUGAAAAUCAAACGCCACGGAUAAUAUUGGCCAACAAUGAUCGGAGAUUGCGAGAAAUUCGCACGAAAAUGCGAAAAAUGCCAACGGCAUGCGCCAACUAUCCGACAACCGGCCGAAGUUCUUUCCUCCAUCACAUCGCCUUAUCCCUUUAUGCGCUGGGCCAUGGAUAUUGUCGGACCUCUGCAUAAUUCAAAGCAAAAGCGCUUCCUUCUAGUCCUUACCGAUUUUUUCUCAAAAUGGGUAGAGGCGGACUCGUACGCAAGUAUAAAAGACGUCCAAGUCGAGAAUUUCGUAUGGAGAAACAUCAUCUGUAGGCAUGGAGUUCCUUACGAAAUCGUAACCGAUAACGGGUCUCAAUUCAUUUCCACCCGAUUCGAGACAUUCUGCGGAAAGUGGAAGAUACGACUCAACAAGUCAACUCCCAGAAAUCCGCAGUGCAACGGACAGGCUGAAACAAUCAACAAGACCAUUCUCGACGGACUGAAGAAACGCUUGGAGGCCAAAAAAGGUAGAUGGGCCGAUGAACUCGAGGGAGUCCUCUGGUCUCACCGUACCACCCCAAGGCGAGCAACGGGAGAAACUCCCUUCGCCCUGGUAUACGGCACGGAGUGCAUGAUUCCCGCAGAAGUAGAAUUUCCCGGUGUUCGAAGAAGGUUCUUACCUGAACGAGAGGAACUCAACAAUGCUAUGCUCUUGGACGACCUCGACCUCAUUAACGAACGCCGGGAUCGAGCGCUCAUCCGAAUUCAAAACUACCAGCACGCCGCUGCGAGAUACUAUAAUUCCAACGUACGGAAUCGUAGGUUCAAUCAGGGACAUCUGGUUCUUCGCAAAGUCUUCCAAAACACCGCUGAACGAAACGCGGGAAAACUCGGAGCAAACUGGGAAGGUCCCUAUAAAAUCGAAAAAGUCGUCCGCCCAGGUUCUUACGAAAUAGCCAACAUGCAGGGCAUAAAAAUCCCUAGAACCUGGAAUGCGAUGCAUCUCAAAAAAUACUAUCACUAAACAAACCAACUCGCAAUCACUGAACUACGAGACGGCUUGAUCUCCGCAAGGAUUACGUAGGCAGUUUGCCGAAAGGCAAAUUCAGCUGUGCCCCCUCAUUAAAAAAGGGGGGGGAGUGGGUACGUAUACUCGUAUACUCCCAAAACCCAGCGCACUGGUCUCUAACAUCUCAAAGGCAUGAUAUCGAAAGAUAGGAGAUUCUUAAACCACGCCUCUAUGUUUACGUUCGAUACCUUCAGCACCCCCGCAGAGUUCACAUCUCGCGGAAGAACUCUCGAAACAGGUCUCGAAUAAAACAUUUCACAAUCGAAGAAGGAUAUGAGACGACAACUCAUCACCUUCCUCCCCACUAUUCACAAAUUCAUAAAAAGCGUUAUCCGAUUAUCAUACCAUAAAAAGAAAGCCGCGGAGCGGCAGGGAUUCAAAGCCACACACGGCCAGUCCCAAAAUACAAACAAGGCCAUUCAAGGCCGAAACAUAAAAACAUAAAAAAAAUUUCUCGCAAGAGAUCUAACCAAAGUCACCCUCAGAACUUACGCCCCCUCUUCACCCGCUGCCUCGUCCGAGCCUGGAGCCGCGUCACUUCCGUUCUCUCCGACCAUCGGGUCUUUCCACUCUGGGUCUUCUGAACAUGUCGGAAGGAAGCACGCGGAUUUCAGGUCGGCCAGGAUAAGAUCGAAAUCUCCAUCCUCGGCCGCCAUAUCUCCCUUGCAGUCGGACAACCGGGCCUCUUCGGCCUCCAAGGUCGGGGGAGUCUCACUUUGGAAUGACCGAACUACGGCCAUCCCGCCCUCAAUCGUCGCCAAAGCGAAAUCCCUGCUCCGGAUACACUCGAGGGAACCCAAGGAAGCAGAAAUCUUCGCCAAGCGAGCUUGAAACUCCGUGCGAAGGGCAUCCGUAGCCUCUUGAAUCCCGCGGCGCGCUAGUCCAGCAUCACUCUUGAUCUGACGCUGGAGUCGACGCACCUCCGAGGAUUUGGCCUUCCUGGCCUUCUUUUCCUUAAGCAAGGAACUCGCCGUCUUCCCAAGGUCCCUCUCAAGCUCUCCUAUCGCAACCUCGAGCUUCGACACUUUCGCAGAGUGAGAGUCCUCGACAGCCGUCAACAUAGCCUCGGUUUCGAACCAUCUGCCCUGAAGGUCCACCAACUCCCCGGAAAGGCGACUGGUCUCAGAACCACAUUCGCUGAUCAUCCCAUCGAUCAACGAUAUGAACUGCGAACGGUAAAAUCUGGUUAGACUAAGUCCUUGAAAAGAAUGCACGAAAGACGAUCAAGAAUUCAAACAAGAAACAAACCUUUCCGCGAAGUCCCGAGUUUAGGCUCGACCCACCUCGCUGCGAAGUCUCCCCGUCACCGCUCUUGGCAAGUUUCCUCCUCCGACUCUUAGGCUGAGUAGCCAGGACAGCGCUAGGAGCACGCAAUGCCAGAACGAUUUCUUUUCUGGCUGGAGGCGGAGGCAUAGAGUCAGCGGCUUUCUCUUUGUCCUCGACGAGGAUCGGAGUCGUGGAAGAUCCCGCAGGUAGGACUUGCGGGAGAGGAGCCGCGACGUCGGUCCCAUGACACGGGGCAACGACCUGCACGGAAGAAGACGGAAACUCGGAGCCAGUUUGAGCUAGUUCUUUCUCGGCUUGACGACGAUCUAGUUUCUCUCGGAAAGAAAGAUGACCGGCAACACAAGCCGGCACUUCCGCCGGAGAAGUUGGAAUCGGAGCCGGAGAAGUGGCCUCACCCAUCUCGACGUCGGAAUCUUUCUUAUCACCUUGGGAGGAAGACAUGUUGAGAGAAAAGUUAUGAAACUAGAGAGUUUUUUGAAGGAAUGAAGGAGGGAAGGUGUGAAGAAAAUGAAUGACAAGAGCUCACUACUUAUAGAAGUAUGGGUUCGGAAUGUCGUCUCGACAACUUUUUUCCGCGGAAUUUUAAAUGUAAAUUUUUUCCAAUACACUUAACCUUGUCAAAGUCAUCUAUCCGCCCGCUAGAGUCACAACUCUAACGGGCUGGGGGGCUAACUGUUGGGGUCAAAAACGGUUACGACAAAUUUAACAUUCAAAACGUCCGAGGAGGAAAAUAAGAAUUUCUCCGAAGAGUAUUUUUCGAAAUAGACUCUUUCUUACGAAAAAGCUUUACGGAAGAAAGAAUCGAGAUGUCCGACGAAAAGCUCGAAACAGGUCGCUACGUAGCGACCGAGCGAUCUUCCCGCUCGGUCGCUACGUAGCGACCAAGCUCAGCCAAGCUCGGUCGCUACGUAGCGACCGAGCGAUCGUCCCGCUCGGUCGCUACGUAGCGACCGAGCUUGAGCCAAUCCACGCCCCAAGCCUCUUGGACUUAGCCCACGGCCUUGCCCAAAGACCCAACAGCCCAUGGCCUCAUGGCCGGACCUCACAGCCCGCCACUGACCCGGACCCGGACCAUCGGCCUAAAACCCGAACAGUCCGUCUAGCUGAGAUGAGCUGACUCCCAGCUGCCUCAGCUGAGUGAGCUAGUAGUCCAGCUAGUGUAGCUGACUUAGUAGUGUCUGAGCUGGAGUGAACUCAACGUAGCUUCGUUAAGCUGGUCGAGCUACUUCUCUAUCUCGUCCAGCUACCGUCUUACUCGUCUUAGCUGUCUCUUUUCUCUUAUAAGGUUAAGUUAAAGAUUCCUUAUGUCCUCGAACCAUGGCCGUCCCGACAAUCCUUUCCAGGAUUGGGGGCGUGACAGUUCCUAGGCAUCAAAAACGAGGUGAUGUCAAUCCUUUUGGUAGAAAUGAAAGAACCAAUGAUGGCUUGAGUGGUUUGAAAUUGAAAAUUCCAAGUUUUGAUGGCAAAAAUGAUCCGGAUGCUUUUCUUGAAUGGGAAAGAAAAAUUAAACUUGUGUUUGAUUGUCAAAAUUUUUCUGAUAUUAAAAAGGUUAGACUUGCUGCUGCUGAGUUAACUGGCCAUGCUAUUAACUGGUAUGAUCGAGUUGUGACUAGCAGGAGGAGAGCAGGUGAGGCGCCAGUUGAUACAUGGGAUGAGCUUUCCAUGCUGAUGCAAAGACGCUUUGUUCCCCACCAUUACCACUGUGGGAACCGAAAUUCACACUCUCGAUUUCCGUUUAAAUAAGGAAACUAAGAAAACCCUAGUUUUCCAGAGAACCCGGAUAUCUGUUAAUUACCACACGUCAAGCAAUCAGAACAUGAGAAUAACAACGAUAAAAAUAAGAAAUCGAAAAGAGAGCAAAGUAGAUCUUAUUCCGAAUCUGCGUAUGAGCGUUACAACAAGGUAUAAGCCUGGGCUCGAGAGCUGUCAGCGAGAUUCCUAGUUCUAGCAACCCUAAGACGGCUAAACCUAAUUGAGUCGCAGCUCGAAAUAAAAAAAAUGGAAAAUUGCCUAAAUUGCUCUAAGUGCUAAGUUUUCUCUGAAAAAGUUCUCCCCUCUGCUCCUCGCCUAGGACUCCUUAUAUACUAGCUCCAAGGUCGGUUUACGCUUUUACUCUUCUGCCCUUAAGCCGUCAUAGCAUAAAAAUGGAGAUAUUCCAUUUUUCCCGAUCUUCAUAAUUAUCUUCAAAACUUCCGUAUUUAUCCGCGGAAACUUGACAUUUAUCCUUCCUUGUGGGCCAAGCGUAAACCAUGCUGUGGUUUACGGGCUUUUGGUUAGGAAAAUCGUAGGAUGGGCUUCGAAUCGUGUUUUAGGUCCCUUUGGGCCGUCUUUCGACUCGACACGUUUACUUCGAGUUUUCUGCGGUUUCUAAUCCGCGAAGUUUGAUCGAUGAAUUAGAAUAGCGGGAAACAUGGACUGAGCUUGCUACGGUCUUCGGGAGAUAGCAUUCGAAGGUUUGACGAGAAUGCAUGGACUGGUGUCGUAUCGAUGUUCGGAAAGGUUUAAUCGCUACACAGCGACCGAACUUUGGCUCGAGCCCGGUCGCUACGUAGCGACCGAGUGAGACGAGUGCUCGGUCGCUACGUAGCGACCGAGCUUUGGCUUGAGUGCUUUGGUCGCUACGUAGCGACCGGUCUAGCCAUGGGCGUUUGGAUUGUGUCCCAUUCUUCUUAUUCUUUUCAUCCAAUUCUUCUUCUACUCCUUCUGUACAUUGGCGUGGCCUUGUGGAUAUGUUGGGAUUGGUUUUAACCGUGGUUCUGGUUGAGUAAUGCGGUCGCGGUCCAUAACCGUCGAGUUAGGCGCGCGCAUGGUCUAAACUGGCCUCAGAUGAUCCGAUUGAAUAGAGGCGGUUCUGUUCUGUUCUGGACGGUUGCAACCCUUACCUGAACAGUCACAAUGGUUCAUGACUUAUGUAGGUUAAGGCGUGGUCCUUUGGCCAUAGGCCGGACACACGUACGGACCAGACAGUCCAUAAGGACAGUUAGGUCGAACGGUUGGAACAUCUGAAUGGGUGCGAGUUGCCAAGGGUCAUGAGUUGCCAAGAGGCACAGUCCGCGGCUGAAUGGUUGGAACAUCCAAACGGUGCCAUUGGUUCAAGGCUUAGGCCGAACCAAGUGGACAGUCCGCGGCUGCAUAGUCGAACGGACGGACGGUUAGUUUAACCAGAGUGUUUUAUCGCAAGGUCUGAUUGGUUGCAAGGCAAUCCGGUUUGGUCUUGGGCCUUACUCUGUGGUAUGGAUCCAGGCUUUGGGUCGGAUCAGGUAAGAAGGUCCGUGAGACUUUGGGCCAGACUUAUAACUGGUCGAUCGCACCUAGAUCUUAACCAGACGGUUAGACGGGACUAUGGAUGAUCCAGCUAUGGUUGGAUGGUUCUGGCCGCAAAGGCUAAGUGGGAUAUCUUACAAUCAACUUUGGGUUGGUGAGUAGGAUAGGCGCCAUAUGUCUUAUGUAGGGAGUAGACCUACAUGAUGGCAAUGGAAGGCCGGUUCUAUCAGUACAUGCGAAGUGGAUGAUGGCUUAUCAAGUCUAGUGGUCGGAUCAUGUUUCAUGACGAUGGUUCGAUGGCCGAACACUAGUAUGGAUAGUCACGUUGCUGGAGCAAGAGUAUUGAUGUGAUGCUUCUAUAUAUCAACCUUGGUGUUGAUAGCUUCGAGUUUGGCUAAGAGUCAUGACGAAGCCUAUGGCUAGUACUAUGUUUCGUAGACCAUAAGUAUUGAGCCUAAGUAUGGUUGUUCAAGGAAAGCCGUGUAAGAUCUGAUCAUGGUUGAGUAUGGACGACCUGACCUCUGAAUGAUGGUUCAAGGUGUCGGAACUAAUCUGAUUAAGGAAUGCAUCGGUUGGUAUGAACAAAUCAUAUAUGUUGUCUGGGUUAAGUCCCAAGGCCGGUCAAGCCAGAUGAUGACUCAUCAGUUCCAAGUCAUGUGAGGAUGGUUGGUUGAUUGACUUAGGAUCUAAUGAGCUUUGUCAUUCCAGAAGAUGGACUUGGUACUAUUUCCUAUAAGGCAAAAGGAUUUCGGAUUGUGCAUGAGCCGAGAAAGGCCAGAUGCAAACCCUUAUCCUUUCAAAGACUUCUCAAAGGUUACUUAUGUCUGUGGGGAUGGUUGGUUGAAUGACUAAAUACCUACGGGAGUUGUUUGAUGCAGGAGUCACGACAAGGACCUUAAGUAAGAUCAUGGAGUGAUCGUGGUCCAGCUGUCAAGCAAGAGCAAUUCGAGUCAAUGGAGGACCGAUGAGCUAAUAAGCUCCAUAGAUGUGGCAAAGGUAUGAUCUAGCAUUUACUUAUGUAGAUCUAGAUAGAAUGGUUUAGGGGAAUGAAACCUCAGAAUCGUAUGACUUGGUUUGGGUUUAGGAUUGACCUUUAAGCUAAUUGGUAGUUGAGUAAACUGACCAAGGCUAAGGUGAUUCGACCAGACAAGUGUUAGAUUGGUUUUAGACCAAUGGUUAAUUAGAAAAUAAUCCGCUGCGUAUCUGUUGAAAGGAUCUAAGCUAUUAAUGACUAGGGAAGUCUUUAGCUAAGGUUUAAGUUAGCCCUCGCCUGUGGGCGAUAUUAUAAAUAAAGGGUAAAAAUUAAGAGGUACGGCCAGGAAGUGGACCGAGCGACGUGAGGCAUCCACCGCGGCCUAGGCGGUCGGGAUCGGGUCUUACAGGAACUCUCCUUGGACGGUUGAUGGAUCGAUCAUUAUCAUAAGACUCUUCUCGGAUUUCUAGGUCGGACCGGCUGUUCCUCCUUGGAUGGUCACGUCUGGUUCUGGUUCGUGACUGAGUUGGACGGCCCUGAAGUUCAUCAAGCCUCUGAUGGAUCGCCUCCAAACCUGUAUUCAACACGUUAGACAUAGAAUCAUUGAGAGCACGCAUUUGCAAGUUAGAUAAUCCGGCAUAUGAAUUUCCGGGUCGGUUUCUUUCUUCUUCACUAUCCAUGGUUACCUGAAAACUUAAACAAGGUAAAGUUAGAUUAAAAACCUCACACACUCAGGUGUUUAUCCUCACCCACACACGUGUUUCACUCAAUUUUUAUUGGUAAUCACACAAGAGAGUUCCUCCCAAAGUUCUAAGAGAGCAAACUAGAUCACCCAAUGAGCAAAUCCAAGUGAACCAAAGAUCAAGAGAGAAAGAUAAGAGAUUUAGAGGGGAACCCGCCUUAACCACCUCAAAGACCGGAUUUCUCUUCGGCCAGCAGGCUUUCUCUUCCACCACCACACCACAAACAAAUCAAACUUUGGAAUAUCCUUUUUUUUUAUACUUUUUUUUUAUAUAGAUCUUUCUCUUUUUUUUAUAUAUAUGGGGGUAAUGAGGGGCCCGGGUUCAAGAUAGAGAGAUAAGAAAUUUUAAUGAAGAAUAUGGAAGAUGAAAUGAAAUGGAUUGAAAAAGAGUUACCGAGAGAGUGGCUCUGAUACCACUUGAUAGAACCAAAAUAAGGAUCACUCUUUCGGUAAGGUUGAUAUGAACUCAGAUCCGAGAGGAUUGAGAACUGAUGGAUCGAGGGGUGACACUAAGGGUUGCGGAAUAGCCCAAAGAUACUACCAUAGAUUCGAUGGUUGCCGGAUGUGACGCACCGGUCCAACACAACGAAGUGGUUCGCUUGGAGAUGACCUCACCAAUAGAAGUAUGAAUGUUCUAAGCAAAGAACAAUGAGAGAAGACUCAAAAGAAGCAAAGGAAAAUCGAUGUGAAUUUAUUAAGGGGGGUCAUCACAUACUUAUAAGGUUUGUGAGUCAAAGAAACAUAAAGACAUUUGUGGGAAAAGACAACAUAGAAGAUAGAAAUGAAUGAAAACAAGACAUAGAAACUAGAAAUGAAGACUUUGACUAAAGACUGGUCAAGGUGCGGAUUCUUGUGUUGACUGGUCCAGAUUCACAAAGAUGUCCAGGUUCAUUCUGUGGUGAUCAGGUCGUCCGCGGUAAGGAGCAGGAUGGAUGUAAGGCUGCCCGCAUGGUUGAUCGUCGAUGAUCCAUGAACGGAUGAAGAGAUAGCUCGACCCAAAUCUUCAGAGAGCUUAAGUAUCCUUCCUUUGCAGUAGUUGGAAGCAUCGAUCAUCAUGAAAUCAUCAAAGUGGUUGGAAAGGUUGUGAUCAGCCUGAUCCGGGCGUGCGGUACGUCCCAAACGGGCCAGGAAAGAUAGGCUAAGUCCGAAAUCUGAUUCUUCUCGAUGAUCAUGGGUUCUGGCUUGACUGUUGGCUCUAGAAUGGCGAAUGGAUCGGGGAAGAACGCCUGUGGUUUGGCUGAUUCGGUCAUCAGGUCGUGGAUCCAUCCUUAGGUCACGUCCGGGUGCACGCGGGUCGAUCCGGUACACGGCUCUGUCCGUUGAUCUGGUACGGAUGAAUGGCUGAACCUCAGUUGGACUGAUCUGAUCAUCCUGGUCACCAUGCUGAGUCUGCUCCACGUCCUGGUCUAGGUCCUGGGUUCUAUCAUUCCCUCCCUCUUCAAAAGGAUUUGACCACAAAUCCGGAUCACCUGGGUUCUAUCACGUGGGCUGUGUAUUCAGUACACACAGGACGUCCCUGGGUCUCCGCCAGCACACACAGGACGCCGUGGCUGUCUGUGUGUGUCCGUCAGCACACAC